AAGCAAGAGAGUGGGUAAUGGACGCUCACAAUGCAGAGUCUCCCCAUCAGCAUCUGAUGGCAGGACCUCCUGCUCUAGACCCUCGACGGGCUGAUACCGCCAGCUAGCACAUGAGGGCACUCAAUACCCAGUUUGCAAGCUAGGUACAACUACAGUUGCAAAAUCAUCCAACUGAACUUUGGGAGGACGGCGUCAAAGAUUACUUAUCCCAUGCUUCUGAAAUCAUGGUUAGAUCCACGAGCUUGUAAGUUCCAUGCAACGAUGACGACAAUGACGGCGAUCACACUGAGGUUCUAAUCGCAGAGCUAAAAAGGAUUUUAAAAAUAAAGAGCGGAGGAUAUGCUUAGAAAGACUGCUAUCAAGCAGAAGAAGAGGCCAAGAUAAAGGAGGUUGAGCUGAUGCGAGGAAACCCGCUUAUCACUAUGAAUAACUCCGGAUCCUUCAAUGUGAAGAGAAGGAAACCUGCUUAUCACUAUGAAUAACUCCAGAUCCUUCAAUGUGAAGAGAAGGUGGGAUGAUGAUUUUGUACUCUAGAACCAGGCUCGUGGAGAGACCAAGACUCCAAAACGGUUCAUCAAGUGCACCAUUUAUUAGGAGUGAUUUCCACCGCAAGUUUUUGCAUAGGAAGACCAAAACAAAAAGACAUAAAUGAGUAGAACUGAACAGAAGAUCUCGUCGUUAGGAGAGGUUGAGGACAGAAGCAGAUGCAAAGAAAUUGGAAGUUCUUUCAAAGAAAAUAGGCAGCUUGCCAAAUAUAAUUGCCAAGAUAGCAAAGAGGACGAGGAAGAGGAAAAAUUGCACAAGGUGAACUGUGGCUAAGUAGGAAAGAGUGAAGUCAGCCCCCUUCUGUG
This is a long non-coding RNA of Lolium rigidum, 851 nucleotides long. RefSeq lists it as uncharacterized. The transcript is spliced from 7 exons. NCBI's taxonomy places the organism in Eukaryota, Viridiplantae, Streptophyta, Magnoliopsida, Poales, Poaceae. The record is from RefSeq and is a predicted model, not a curated record.